UUUUAGCCAGAGGGUCAUUAGGUUUAUUUCAACAUCAACAUUAGGUGACUCAUCAAAAGUCCUCUUUCAGCUUCCUUCCAUAUACGUUUAGCUUUAAAAAAUCAGAACAUUAUCUUUUCUAAUGCUCUGAGGCUCCCAUUCAGGAAUGCAGUUGAUUUUUCCCGUUUCAGAAGCGUGAGCAGCUACCCAGGCCAAGUGGGAGGGCAUUUCCACUGGGACAAGGCCUUAGAGGUCUACCCCGCACGUGUCCUGCAGAGCCACAGCUUCUGUUGGGGUGGGCACCUUCGCAAGUGUGACACAGAAUCCCUGCUUUGAACCUUUGAACUUGAGUGAAGGGCUGUGGCCUCCCAGAACUUUCUUGGCUUGCCUGGGGGCUCCCCAAGGUACUGUGGCAUUGCAGUACCACAAACCCACGCACUCAAGUCCAGACGUUGCUUAGGAUGCAGAGAGCGAUGCGAGGCCUGGCCCAUCUGAUGUGAUAGCCUGGCCCACUCCCCUGACAAGCUCUCCU
Molecule: long non-coding RNA, 511 nt
Filed under: Homo sapiens (human)
Lineage: Eukaryota; Metazoa; Chordata; Mammalia; Primates; Hominidae
Description: non-protein coding lnc-EXOC2-14:1
Source: RNAcentral